Molecule: long non-coding RNA, 16058 nt
Filed under: Prunus persica (peach)
Lineage: Eukaryota; Viridiplantae; Streptophyta; Magnoliopsida; Rosales; Rosaceae
Description: long non-coding RNA (PPER_LNC008065)
Source: RNAcentral
UACAUACCGACAACUGGCCGCGAACCUCCGUCUUGAUCUCGUCAGGCAUGACCUUCCAAGACUUCCAUUUGAUCGGGCAAUGGCUCCGAACGACAUGACCAAUGUCGUGGGCCAAGGAGCUAUGCAACUCCGCCGUCGGUGCAGCCCGAUGUCGCUCGUCGUAUCCGAUGUUGAUACGACUGUUGGUCACCCGAGUGACCUUCGCCUUCUUCAACUGCCGACACGGCCCUCAGGUGUUCUUCUUGGCUGCAAAGAAAGAUGACAUUAAUGUUAAAUAAAUAACAAAUUUAACUAUAAAAUACAGACAAAAACAAAAACAAAAACAAAACCAAAAACAAAAACAAAAAUAAAAACAAAAACAAAAAUAAAAACAAAAAUAAAAACAAAAAUACAAAUAACUAGAGUUCAAGGAAAUCUAUACCUGGUUGUGACCCCGACGCAUUAGUGGAUGUGGUGUCGGUGGGGCUGGCGGCCCGAUGACGCCGCCUGGUGCUAACAAGCUGCGCCAUUGAUGAAGCUGAUGAAGCAGGCGCCUGGGACCCUGCGGGACCAACUGCCAAGUGGUCCAUCAGUGCUGGUGCAGUGGCAACCGUUGUCGGCUGAGCCGGGGGCUCCAAACUAUGCGUAGUCGUCACCGCCCUACAUCGUCUAAUUAGGUUUGACAUCUGCACAAUUUCAUUAAUACACAUACAAAUUAAUAAAAUAUACGAAUAUUUGAAAGCACAUACAAUUUUAUUAAGAUUCUUGACCUAGGGUUUGCGAGUUCGGAGUAUUCGGGACUCGAUCCACGAUCUGUCGAAUCCUAGACAAUCCUAGAAAUACAAGGUACACCAUACGUGAGUUUGAAUUUGAUCCAACGGUCCGAACAUAACAAAACCGGAAAUCGCACAAUAGGCAAAAUCCGUUCGAGACUCAAACAGUAACCAAAUUCCAAUCCGAAAAGACCUACGAGCUCGUGACAACUAGGGGAUUGCACUGGGACCCAAUGCAUGACUGCUACAGUGUCCCACCCGCCACCCCACGCACCGGCAGCGUGUGGGGGUGUCCAAAGCGAUACCAAUCGCCGAAAAAUUCUAAAAACUAAGGGCCAAGGUUCCUACCCUAGGUUGAAAACAUCAAUUGGAGCCACUUUUGUUCUCGGACCUACCCCGAAAAAUGACCAGAAGUGGCCGGAAUUGAAAUUCAAAAACCGGCCGAAACUUAGGGUUUCAAAUCCAUUGCCCUAUUGUAAUAAUUACUUAAAUCCUACCCAACCAUCAGCUAAAGCAUCAAAAAUAGUCCAGAAACCAUACCUCAGGUGUCAGAUUUGGUCGCCGAAGGAGAGAGAAUGACGGCGGCGCAGAUUCGGUGAAAACCGAGGAAAUUAUGACGGCUGGCUCGACGGUGACGGCGGGGAAGCUCCGGGGUACCAAGGUUGUGGUGGCGCGGUCCAAAUUCCACUGGGGUAGGGGCAGAGGUGACGGCGGAGAGAGAGAGAGAGAGAGUUAGGGCAAAAAUCAGAAUCUGGGGAAGAAGAAGGCCAUCGCGUCGUUUCUGAAAUUUUAUUCGAUUUUGCGCAACGAAUAAAUAAAAGCGCCGCGCAAAAUAUUUUAAAUGACUCUUGCGCGAUGACAUAAGUAUAACUUCCGUAGGGCAAUAUUGUGAGUUCGCCAAAAUUUGGUAUCAGGGUAGGGUUGCGCGGUUUUGCGCGACGCAUUGAAAUUUUUUUCGUCGCACAAGGUUGUCAAUCCGCCAAAAUAUUGGGACUUAGGGUUUAGCGGGAGAGAUUGAAAACUUUGCGCGACGCUGUCCCUAUUCGUCGUGCAAUGUUGUAAUUCCGUCAAAAUUUGGGGUUUAGGGUUUAUUAGGCAGAGAGAUUGCGCGACAAAUAUGGACAGCGUCGCGCAAGUCUGCUUUCUGUACACUUGAAAAAAAUUUGGACCAAGUGUUCAAGGGGAAAGAUGGUGAAAGGGCUGACUGAGAUUGCGCGACGACGAAGUCUACGUUCGUCGCGCAAGACUGUUUUCUGCAGGCUUUAUGCGACCAAUUAAACUUAUUUGUCGCGCAAUAUUGUAAUUCUGCCAAAAUUUGAGGUUUAGGGUUUAUUGGGCAAAGAGAUUGCGUGACGAAAAUGGACAGCGUCGCGCAAGUCUGCUUUUUGUACACUCGAAAAAAAUUUGAACCAAGUGUUCAAGGGGCAAGAGGGUGAAAGGGCUGACUGAGAUUGCGCGACGACGAAGUCUACGUUCGUGGCGCAAGACUGUUUUCUGCAGGCUUUGUGCGACCAAUCAACCUUAUUCGUCGCGCAAUAUUGUAAUUCCACCAAAAUUUGGGGUUUAGGGUUUAUUGGGCAGAGAGAUUGCGCGACGAAAAUGGACAGCAUCGCGCAAGUUUGCUUUCUGUACAGUCGAAAAAAAUUUGGACCAAGUGUUCAAGGGGCAAGAGGGUGAAAGGGCUGACUGAGAUUGCGCAACGACAAAGUAUACAUUCGUCGCGCAAGACUAUUUUCUGCAGGCUUUGUGCGACCAAUCAACCUUAUUCGUCGCGCAAACCCUAAACCCUAAACCGUGGAAACCCUAAACCCGAAACUAGUUUUAAUGAUCCAACCGGCAAACUUGUUUUUUUAUACUUCGAGAUCGUAUACGCCGAAAAUCGGAAAAAACAAACAUUAAGAGAUCAAGUAACGGACAAAACUUUUCGACGGUUCCAAAUGAAAAGUCAUGAUUUAACGGUUAUUUUAACUUCGAUUUUUAUGAUUUUUUACAGCUACAUUUCUUGACCCUAUAUGAAUACAAUUACUGAAUUUGAUCUUCAAUUUAAGAUGUUUACAGUAGGGGGAUACCACAUAAUCUUAUGUUAUAUUUAACGAAAGUAUAAAUAAACUAUUCAUUGUUGGUGAAUAUAUGGUUUUGAUGGCAUAUGCAUUCUACGAAACUAGCUUCAGAAAUCCAGCUGUCAAACUUGUUUGUUUAUACUUCGAGAUCUUAGACCCUAAAAAUCAGAAAAAAAAAAUUCAGAGAUCAAGUAACGGGACAAAACUUUUCAACGGUUAUAAAUGAAAAGUCAUGAUUUAACGGUUAUUUUAACUCCGAUUUUGAUGAUUUUUUACAGCUACACUCCUUGACCCUAUAUAAAUACAAUGAACUAACUCGAUCGUCAAUUUCAUAUAUAUAUAUAUGUAUAUAUUAUAUUAUAAAAUAAUAUAUAUUUGCGCGACAAGAGGUAUCCUGUCAUCGAGCAAAAUUUCAUCGCGUGACGGAUGUUAGGUUGUCGCGCAAUGUUUUAACUUUACGCGACGAGUGUAUUGUGGGUCACGCAAACUAUGCGCGACGAGGAUUAAUUUGUCGCGCAAGGAUUUUCAUUUUUGAAAAAUGUUUGGUGUCAAUAAUUUUCAAACUUUGUAUGAAAAGAGUUUAGAUAUAUUUAUUUAUCAAUGUUUUAUAACAAAUUUUUUUUUCAUUUUUCAUUUUUUUGUAUAUGUCAAUUUAUUUAAUAAUGUCUCACGCGGUUGUUGUUGCGUUGACCUAACUCGCUUGUUCUUUUUCUUUUAUAAAGUGAAGUGAUAAACUUUCAUAAACUCAUGAAAAGUCGAUCAAAGUUAGAAUUGGAUACAACCCCCUUAAGUUAGAUUGUUUAUCAUUUUCAUUUUGUAAACGUGUUGUGUCAAAAAAAAAAUUUUAAAUUAUUAUUAAAAGGGUUUGGAUAUAUUGAUUUACCAAUGUUUUAUAACUAUAUUUAUUUUAAUAAUGUUUCAUUUCUCCACAUAUAUAAGGUUUGGAUAUAACAACUACAUAUAUUCAAACAUUUGUGUUACACAAAAUCUGUACACUAGCAUAAGAAAAUUACAAAAAAAUUCAUUAUUCAUCAUCUGAACUAUAAUAACUUUCGUUAUCGUCGCUAUCAUCACUUUCGGUCUCCCAAUCCUCCUCCUCCUCCUCCUUCUCCUCUAUAACUAUAUCAUCAUCGUUGCUCGGGCCCACUGCAAUAUCGAAUCUUGGAAGAUCACCGAGGUCAAUUGUAAUUGACUGAAUCGGUAUUUCGAUUGAAGACACUCCUUGUAUUUGAAACGGUUCUUGUAUAACAUGUGUAUCUCGAAGUGUUUGCGCAUCAUUUUCCAAUGAAGAUUCUAAACGUUGGUCAGCCACAUUGUCGACGUCGUUGUCAGUUGGGUCUAGUUCUGGUAUAGCAUACACGUUCCUAUGAUCCAUCUUCUGAACAACUUUCCAACUGCUCCCGGCUUUAGGUCAUCUAGAUACACAAUUUGUGUUGCCAUGUUUGCCAAAAUGUAAGGGUCGUCAUCAUACCAAGUUCUGUUAAUGUUCACAGAUAGUAAGCCAUGGUCGAUUUUAACACUUCCCGGCCUAUUUGGAUUCCUAUUAAACCAUCGACACUUAAACAUGAUCACUUGGUAUCGAUCUUUGUAAAGCAAUUGAACGACAGUUGUGAGUUUGCCAUAGAAAUCAAUGUUCGUACUUUCGCCUCCACCUGAGACAUGGACACCGUUGUUUUGCGUACACAACUUGUCAUCUCGUGCAGCCCCCAAAAAUUUGACGCCGUUAAUAUAACAACCCGAAAACAAUUCAGUGCGAAUCGGGCCGAACGCCAAGUUAUAUAACUCAUCACUGUAAGUGGGGGAAUUCGAUGAUUUCAACUUAUUCACCUAAUAUAAUACAAAACCAUUCACAUGUUAGUCUGACAAAAUUAAAUACUACAAUUUAUAUUUGUCAAAUACAAAACACUUAUAACUUACAGAAUCCAAAAACCAUUGUGGAAACAAUUCACAGUGUUUCUGCGCAACUAAAUGUGAUGGAUGUUCUCGCUUUCAUCAUCUCUUCAUGCUCAUCUAAGUAUGCCAUUAUCUCAUCACAAUUGUUCAGUACGAACCAAUGCGCUACCUCCAUGUCAUUUCUAGAAAACGACUCUCCUCAUCCAGGAUCUCCAAAGGGUCGUGCGCUUUGGACAAAAACAGAAAGUUUUUCCUUUCUCAUACCUCCGUCAUUAUUGCGCUGAGGACGAUUAAAAGCCAUCUCCACAUCUUUUAAAUACAUUCCACAAAAAUUAAGCGACUCAUAUUGAACCCAAGCCUCUAUAAUUGAUCCUUCGGGCUUGGCCCUAUUGCGUACACUUUUUUUCAGCUCUCCGAGAAGCCUGUCAAAAUAAAACGAUAUGAUACAAAUUAGCAAGCCUGUGAUAAUGAUGCAUACACAAACGAUAAGGAUUAUAUACCUUUCUAUUGGAUACAUCUAGCGAUAGUUGAUAGGACCAGCAAGUAAUGCCUUUUCUGGCAAGUGAACCAUCACGUGCAUCAUACUUGUGAAGAAAGCUAGAGGAAAUAUCAUCUCAAACUUGCAUAGGACUUGGACAAUGUCAUGGCGCAACUGAAACAUGUCUGUCUUUCGCAAUGUUUUUGCCGUCAGUUGGGAAAAAAAUCUGGACAACAACAUGAUUGGCUUCACAACAUCUUCCGGCAAUAGAUGUCGAAUACCCACAGGAAGUAGGCGUUGCAUAAACACAUGGCAGUCAUGGCUCUUCAGUCCAGUAAAUUUACCCCCGUCAACAUUAACGCAACGUGCGAUAUUAGAAGCAUACCCAUCAGGAAACUUUACAGAUGAUACAAACUUUAGAAACUCUUUUUUUGUCAUUCGGUUUCAUAGAAAAGAAUGCAAGAUCCCUUCUAGCUUUAUCCAUGUCCCUGUUCAUCCAUAAACCCUUCGUAUGCCCAUUCUUUGCAAAUCAAGACGGGCUUUGAAUGUGUCCUUUGUCUUGCCCUCGAUAUCUAGAAUCGUGCCCACUAAUGUGUCAAAUACAUUUUUCUCAACAUGCAUCACAUCUAGAUUGUGCCUCAAUUUGAGUUUCGACCAAUAUGGGACCUCAAAAAACAUAGGCUUGUGAGUCCAGUUCAUAUGUGUAGAAGGUCUGGGCCGACUAACUGUUUUUCCGAACGGAGCAAAAUCCAAACGGUUAAGCUGUUCUAAGAUCUCAUCACCGGACUAUUCUCUAGGUCUGAGGCGACGCUCUGUGUUCCCGUCGAACUCUUUAUCUUUUUCCCGCCACUCGUGGUCCCAUGGCAACCAUCUCCGAUGACCAAGGUAACAAACUUUUCCCGCGUGCUAACCAGAAGUUACAUCUUCCUUGCAUACAGGACAUGCCAUAUAACCCUUUGUGCUCUACCCAGAAACCAUUGUAUACGCUGGAAAAUCAUUCACAGUCCACAUAACUGCUGCCAGCAAAGUGAACAUCUUCCCAGUUGAUUUAUCGUACGUGCGAACACCGUUUGUCCAUAAAUCCUUCAGCUCAUCAACCAGCGGCCUUAAGUAAACAUCCAUUGACCUCAUAGGAUCCUCAGUUAUCAAAACAGUCAUCAUCAUUUAAUCUUCUUUCAUACAUUUCCAAGGCGGAAAAUUAUAUGGGAAUACGAAAAUCGGCCAAGUGCUGUGGUGUUCGUUUAGAACCCCAUAUGGAUUGAAUCCGUCAGUGGCAAGUCCUAAUCUCACAUUUCGGGGAUCAGCAGCAAACUCGGGGAACAUUCGAUCGAACUCUUUCCAUGCCUCCCCAUCUGCAGGAUGCCGCAUCACAUCAUCGUCUACCCAUUUUUCCUUAUGUCAUCUCAUGUCUAUGGCAGUAUGCGUCGACAUAUACAAUCGCUGCCACCUAAGUUUUAGGGGCAGAUAACGCAUGACUUUUUGUGGGAUCUUAGUCGUUCUAUUCUGAGAUGUCAUUUUGAACCUCGACUCUUUGCAUAUAGGGCAUGUAUCCAACGUUUCAUGCUCCUUGUAGAAUAACAUGCAAUUAUUUUUGCAAGCAUGAAUUUUUUCAUAACCCAAUCCAAGACCAUUCAACACCUUCUACGCGUGUUUAUGAUCUUUCGGCAAACAAUUGUCCGUCGAAAGCAUUCUCUUGAAAAACCCCAACAAGUAAUCGAAACACAGGUUCGACAUACGAUACUUUAUUUUUUCGUGCAUUAGCUCUACAAUGGCCGUGAGAACAGAAAAGCUCUCGCACCCUGGGUAUGACUCUUGGUUGGCAUUUUCUAACAGUUUUUCAUAUUGUUCAAACUCUGCGCUAUCUAUUGGUGUAGGCACGUCAUCUUCCCUUUCAUAAUUGAUGUUGGUCGAUGCAAAUGGAAAAGCAUCCUGUAUAAUAUCCAUGACUUGAUCAUUAGGAUCCACAAUAGGUUCAACAUUGUCCAUUCUUGUGGCAUUUGAAGACGAAGCAUGGUCUAAUUGUUCCCCAUGAAGGUUUCAAAUGCUAUAUGCCUCAAUCAUUCCAUUCCUUACUAAAUGAAAUCCAACAUUUUCAAUUGUCUCCCACAACGUGUUAUUACACCUCCUACAAGGACAACGAAUUCUAGUUGCACCCGGGUUGUGUCUACGUGCAAACUCAAUAAAAUCAUCGAUUCCAUCCAAGUAUUCAUCUGCGCAUCUAUUCGGGUUAUGUAUCCACCUUCUGCUCAUAAUUCCUGAAACCACAAUCACAACAACUUCAUACGAAGUUAUAAUGUCACCUUAUGCCUCCGGUAAGGACCCUAUCCCAUUCGGGAAUGCAUAGUCCUGUCACGUAACCUACGGCUACAUCAGAUUAGAUUUCGACAUGGAUGAAUUUCGACAGCAUCUCGAUACAGUUCUUGAGGUGGGCAUAAGUAGAAAUACCUACGUACCACCCGAAGAACGUACUAAGAUGCCACCGAAAUCUCCACAAUUGAAACAUAAUCCUGUAGCCGUAGAUUACGUGACAACACUAUGCAUUACCAAACUGUCCAAAUAGUGGGACAAUUCAAGAAUUAAUUGGACCGCAGUCAUGCUUUACGCAUCCAUGUACGAAAUCCAACUAAUCUCGAACGGAAAACUAAGUGUUACUAAACAUACAAAUAAAAGUACGAAGUUAAUUUCAAUUAACUUCGUACAUCACAACACAUUGUGCUACGUCACGCACAAUUUAACAACAUAAUAUAAAUAUAUCUUCACAAAAAAAAUAUACACAUAACAAACUAACUUUAACAUUUUUAAUAUAUAAAACGAAUAAAAUACCUUCUCAAUCGUUCUCCACCAAUCGCUAAUUACAAAUAUCCCUAACAAGAACAAAAUUAAUAGCGUUAGUACGAAUUUACAUUAAUACUUAUAAACUAACGACAAAAAAUACUUACUCAAUGAACGUACUGAAUUUCCAGCAGAGGCAGUGGCAGAGAGGUUGAGAGAGAGGCAGAAACAAAAAAUUUUUGCAUUCUGCCUCUGCAAUGGCAGAAUUCUGAUAUGAAGAAGAAGGACUUUGCGCGACGAAUCAUAAAUUUCGUCUCGCAAACUGCCGUUGCGAAAAACCAUUUUUCAGUCACACAAAACGAUUUUUUUUGUCACGCAAAAACUUGUCGACAAAAAACUUUUGCGCCACGCAUGACAUUUUCGUCACACAAACUUUCGUCGCAAAAAAACAAAAUUCCGUCGCGGAAAAAAAAAAUCCCCCCUCAAUUAUUUUGGCGCCAAAAGAAAAAUAUCCCUCGUUUUCUUACGCGACGAUAAAUGGUUUCGUCACGCUAAGUUGUCUUUUGCGACGAAACCUGUCGUCGCACAAGUUUUCGCAGCCAAUUAACGGGAUCGAUCCCUGUUUUUUGUUCACCUUUACGCGAUGAAGUGUCCCAUCGUCGCGCUAGGUUUUCUUACGCGACGAUUCUUCUCACCGCGCAAGUGUUUGGAGCCAUCAAAAAACCCGGGUUUUUAUUUGCUCACUUUGUGCGACGAAGGUAAAUGUCUGUCGCGCUAAGAGGUUUUGCGCUUCGAAAAAUUUGGUCGCGCAAGUUUUCAAUUUUUUGUGUGACAAAGCCUUUUUUCCGUUCCUGUAUUGCAUUUUGCGCGACGAACUUGUAUUCGUCGAGCAAAAUCUUGUCGCGCAAAUAGUAAAACGUAGUCGUGGCUGGGCCUAUUAUGACUAUUGAAGAUACAAAUAUGCUGAUUAAGGUGCUCUUAUCUCUGUAGAUUUCCUUCUGCUUGUAGUUGUAGUCGAUAUGGUGGUGUUUCCCCCCUCCGUGCUUCCAUAUGUUAUAAAAAAGUUUAUUAUCCUUUAGCUUUUGAGAGUGUCUGUUUAUUUUUAGUUAAAAAUGGCUCAUUUAUACCAGCAAUAAAUUAUCCACAACAACAACAUCAUAAUCUUUUUGCUCUGCCAUCACAAAGUUCAAAUCUCAAUCCCCACCAGCAAGACAAAAUAGGCUAUGCAUUUGUCUUUAUUUGGAAAUGGUUGAUGCCAUCACUAUCAUAUGAUAUUUUGCAAUACCAUUUAAGCUUUAGUUCAGUGAAAUUUUAUAUAGGUUUUGCAUUGUAGUUUUGAAAACUGCAUUGCAGUUUUGGUAAUUACAAUUGGAGUUCUGGGUUAAUAAUGGGUUUGUUGUUUAACACUUUUGUCAAUUUUUGGGUUUUGGGUGAUAAAACUGUGAAGGAUUUUUAUUGGGAUUUUUGUAUUUGGAGCUUAAUAAGCUGUUGUUUAGCAUAUUGUUAAGCAUGUUGUGUUUGAUCUGGGUUUUGUCUUAUUUCAAAACAAGUGUCUGAUAUAUAUAUGUUAUGAAUAUUCUAUGUGAUUCUUGCUAUUAUUAUUGAAAUUUUCAUAAUCUCGUAUGUGUUCACAUCUGUAUCUUGUAUGCAAGUUGCCAAAGACCCAUCUGGGAAAGAGAUCCAUGCACUCGAACAACAUAUAAAGAACUUGCUAAAUCCAUCAACUCCUCUAUUUUUCAACACUCUUUAUGAUCCAUACAGAGAAGACAUAGACUUAUUCCAUGGAUAUCCUUUUAGUUUCCGUGGGGUUGUACCUACAACUGUUUCUCUUGACCUGUGGCUCAACAUCCCUGACUAUGAUGCUCUACCCAGCUUGCCAAUCCUCUAGAAAGGAACACUAGGUAUAAAAUAGUGAUCCCAAAUUACACAAAUUACUGAUUGUAUGCUUCUUUUUUCCUUUUCUUUUCCUUUUCAACUAGACCUAAUUACUACUAAAAAGCCAUUUUUUACAUAAUUGCCUGUUCACUUCUGCUUGAAUUUUUUCAGGUUUGUUGAUGUAGUUCUGACCAUACAUGGGGAACUCUAUUUCCUAUGUAUGGUAUGAACUUGGCAUUCAACCGUGAACUGAUUGGACCAGCAACGUACUUUGGACUCAUGGGUAUUGGUGAGCCAAUUGGAAGAUAUGGUGAUAUGUGGGCUGGCUAGUGCAUGAAGGUAAUUUGAAUUGCUUCAUUUUUAUUCCUUGUUUAUGUCUACUGAGAGCUUGCUAUUCUGUAUGAAAUAAAUGACUCUUCCAUGGUAUAAGCUCACUUACUAUGCAUUUGUCUUGAUUUGGAAAUGGUUGGUGCCGUCACUGUUAUAUGAUAUUUUACAAUACCAUUUAAGCUUUAAUUCAGUGAAAUUUUACACAGGUUCAACAUUUUAGUUUUGCACAAACUACAUUGCAGUUUCAGAAACUGCAUUGCAGUUUUGGUAAUUACAAUUGGAUUUUUGCUCUUUCUUUGGCCUUCAACCUCACCAAUUUGAAGAGUAGAGGCUACCAAUUUUAAAACUAAAGCUCCCUAAAAAUAAUAUAAAUAUCGGUACAUUAUUUACAAAAAAAAAGUCAGUUAUUUUCGUAAUUGACAUUUCUGUACAUUUUUCAUACAUUAAAAUUAGGUACAUAAUUAUAAAAAUAUAGAUAUAUUAUUUACAAAAUAAAAUAUAGGUACUAUUUAUAAUAUAAAAAUUUUUAUUUUUAUUUUCAAGAAAAUAGGUACGUUGUAUAAUUGAAAUUUCUGCACAUUUUUCAUAAAUUAAAAAUGGGUACAUUAUUUAGAAGGGGGAAAAAAAAAGGUUCAUUACAAUAGGUACAUUAUUAGAGAAAAAAAUAGGUACAUUAUUUAGAGAAAAAAAAUAGGUUCAUUUAAAACAAAAUUUCAUAAAACAAACAAUAAAUAGAUUAUCAAAUUAUUUUUCACACAUCAAGUAAUAGGUACAUUAUUUGGAGAAAAAAAUAGAUACAAAAUUUAGAGAUAAAAAUAGGUUCAUUAUACUAGGCAAAUUAUUAGAGAAAAAAAAGGGUUCAUUAUUUGAAAAGAGAAAUAGGUUCAUUAUACUAGGUAAAUGAUUAGAGAAGAAAAAAUAGAUAGAUUAUUUGGAGAGAAAAAAUAGGUUCAUUUAGAAAAAUAGGUACAUUGUUUUACUAGGUACAUUAUUAGAGAAAAAGAAAGAGUAAUGCUACUCUUACCAUGUUUGUAUACCACAUUCCCAUACCAUCUUAUGUGGUAGAUGAGAUGGACAACCACAUCAAUUAAAUUAAUCUAAGGGUAGUGCUGCUGCUACCAUAUUUUUUAUACCACAAUUGUAUACCAUCUUAUGUGACAGUUGAUGUGGACAUCCACCCACAUCAUCUAAGGUGAUUCGAAUUAUUAUUUCUUUUUAUUAUUUUUAAUUAACAAAAAAUUAAAAAACAAAAACAAAAACUAUCGAGAAAUUACCCUAGGGUUUGAUGCUUGCCUCUCCACAGCCGCUCCAGCUACACUCCACUCCCUUCCUCUUUGGCACACAAACAACAAUCCAGAUCUCUCAAUAUAUUGAUAUAAACUAAAAGAAAUCUAAAUAAAUUUUAUUAAUCUAUUGUUAUGAACCAAAGUAAAGUGGACAACUCCUAAGAAGUGUCAAGGGGCUCCAUUCAAAAUAAUGACCCUACCUUGAAUUAAGAAAAUUACUUUAUAUUGUUUCCAUAUGAAUUCUUGAACUUCUCUAGUUCAGAUCUUCUCUUCCCUCUAUUCUAGAUGUGAAAAUUUCCUCCGAUGGAAGGGUUGGUGGGAGAGAGAGGGUAAGUAAGAAGAGGUAAUAAGUUUUAAGUAACACAAUUACAUUUGGAAAAUUAAAAAGAAAUUUUAAUAUAUUUGGCUAUUUAAUUGACAUGGCAAUAACACCUAAGCUGACACAUAAUGUGGUAUAAAAAUGUGGUACAAGUAGCAUUAUUCUUAAUUUAACAUUUUAUUUUAUUUUAUAAUUUAUUGACACGUUUUAAUUGAUGUGGUUGUCCACUUUAUCUGCCACAUAAGAUGGUAUGAGAAUGUUAUAUACAAAUGUAGUAGCAUUAUUUGGAGAGAUAAAAUAGGUUCAUUUAAAAAAAAUUGUUUUACAUAAAACAAACAAUAAAAAGAUGAUAAAAUUAUUUUUCAUAAAACAAGUAAUAGGUACUUUAUUUAGAGAAAAAAAAAGGUACAUUACUUAGAGUAAAAAAAAAAAAAGGUACAUUAUUUAGAGAAAAAAUAGGUUCAUUUAAAAAAAUAUUUUUCAUAAAACAAAAAAUAUAUAGAUUAUCAAAUUAUUUUUCAACAUAAUCAGAAUGUACACUAUUAUUCAUUAAAUUAUAAUAAAAUAGAUUAUUAGUAGUAUAAUUCAUAAAAGGAAAAUAGCAUAAUUUUUUUAUUAAAUAAACCAAGCGUUAAUCACUCAUAGAUUACUAAUACGUUAAUGUUGAAUUUAAUAUUUAAUUUCAAAUAAGUUUCUAAAUUAAUUCCUACAUCCAUUACAACAAUUUGGAGAUCUUUCCAAAUUUAACGUGUGUCAUUAGUUACGUCCCCCCCUCCCAAUUAACACGUUAAUUUGUAAAUAGGGGUAGUUUUGGAAUCCGAAAAAUAUAAUAAAUCAGAUUUUAAGCUAGAUUAGGUAAUUUGCUUACUUGGAUCCUAAUCAUCGGAUUUUAUUUGAAAAAAUUGAGAAUUUUAAAUAAAUAAAUAAAAGGCUGUAAGUGAUUAAAAAUGAAUUUUAUGGGUCGAAUCUCAAUUUAUUACUAUUGUAUUAAAAGACUAGUAUCCUACUCAAUAAUAUUCACCAAUUCAUUCACAGACUAUUGAGUCUUUUGCAUGGUACCAGAGCGAUAGGGCUCUUGAUAACCACCAUUCUUGCCACUAAACCCUAGUCGUCAUCCUUCCUUUUGAUAACAUCCAUGGGGGAGGAAAACACCAAGAAUCCCUCUGUCAAACCUGAGGCAACGACCAAAUAUGAGGAUCCCAGCCAUCCUAUUUAUCUCCACUAUUCCGAUCAACCUGGAGCUGUUAUUGUCUCCCAACAACUCAAUAAAUAAAAAAAAUACACUUGGAGCCGCACUAUGUCCAUGGCCCUCAAUGCUAAAAACAAAGAGGGCUUCAUCGAUGGAACCAUCACAAGGCCACUCAACGCCUCCCCCACAAAACACCAACAAUGAAACUGCUGCAACAAGUCUUGGCUUCUCAACUCAGAUGAAAUUGGUGCUUACAUUGAUGUUGCUUGUGAAAUUUGGAAUGACCUGAAGGAACACUUUUUCACAAGAACAAUGUUCACCUCUUCCACAUUGAGCAAUAGAUACAUGGUUGUGUCCAAGGAAGUAUGAACAUUGGUGCUUAUUAAAGGCCUCUGGGAUGAGCGAGAUGCACUAUGUUCUAUUCUGUUGUGAAAUUAUUGCAAGCGCACAAUUCGUACAAGUGAUAUAUAAAUAAGUAGAGUGUCGGUCCCACAGUGACUGUAAUUUCCUAUUAACUACCAAUUAUGAUUAAUUUAGAAUUUAUUUGAACAGUUAAUCAAGAAGAUUGAUUGAUUUAAGUAAGCUAAAAUAAUUAUGAAAAAUAGCGAUUUAAUUAAUGUUGGAAAAUCAAGAUGAUGAGACACUAGCGCAUCCGAUUUCACCGUAACCAAUUCCAUUUAAUUCUUAUAGCCAAUUAACCCUAAUUACUACCCAUGUUGACAAUUGGUUUCUCCUAAUUCAUUCGAUAUCCCCUCUCGGGCUCAACCACAAGUAUUCUUAAUUAACAACCCAUUCUCUCUCGAGCAGCGGAUUUAGAAAAUCAAGAACCACUACUACAUUUUAGUAUUUGCGUGACGAAUCCAAUUUCGUCGCGCAGACUAACAUAUAGUCGCACGAAUGCAAGCGCGACAUAAAAAUCGUCGCGCGUUAUCUGUUGCGCAAAGAUCGUGAAGAAAUACUUUGCGCGACCGAUUCUACCACUCGUCGCGCAAUUUUGAGCGACGGUUAUCCUUCGUUACACAAAAGGUUCAGAGACGACGAAAACGUUCGUCGCACAAAAUUACGCGCGACGAAAGUAGAUUCGUCGCCACAACAAUGCAUGGCGAAUAAUUUUCAUCGCGCAAUACGUCUCAUAGACAUUUGCGGCACCAAGAGUUCAUCGUCGCGCAAUUCGGGUAACCUUUUGCGCGACGGCAAAUUUCGUCGCGCGAUACAUGCCCAAAAAAUUUGCGCGACGCAAUACUGUUGUCGCGGAAAUCCAUUUUAGCGACGAAAACGUCCGUCGCGCAAAAAUAAUUAUAUGUAUUUAAAAAAAUGAAACAUUAUUUUUUCGGAAUAUAUAAAUUUGCGCGACGACAAAGCUUUCGUCGCGCAAAAUUAAUAUAUACAUUUAUUAUAUAAUUAUAAUAUUACUUUUGUUUUAUUUUAUAAAAAAAUAAAUUUGGUUUUUUUUUUUGGGUAAUAAAAUGAAAUUCCAAUAAUAAAAAAAAUUGAAGUCAAUAACAAAUUUAUUAUAUAAAAUAAAUGUAUGCUACAAGAGAAAGAUUUAAAAAAUAAUUACGAAAAUAAAAAAACUAAUCGAAUAAUGUUCCAAAAUCUACAUUAUCAUCUGGCACAUGCGGUGCAGAGGUCUGGGGGUCUACAGGGGCCGGCGUUUGGUGGGGAUGCUCGGGAUGGACGGGCUCGGAGGUCGGCGCAUCAAAAUGCGGGACUGGAAUGUCGGACUGUGCGAGGGACUGCAGAAUGAUCGACAUCUGACUCUGAAGAGUGGCCACCUGUGCUGUCAAAGCAGUGACUUGACUGUUUGACUGCGCUGAUGAACGGGGUCUGGGUUCCCUCCGCCUGGCAUUCCCCAUCCCUUAACAAUAUGUCCCCGGUCUCCUCCCUAGAGUCUGAUCCAAUGUCUCCGUCAAGAUCUGAAACUCAGCAUCCUGUGGAGGAUCCACAGACUCGAUCGGAGUAUCAGGAGGAAGUUGGGAGGCGGACUCCUGAAGAACCAACUGGCUCCUCUCCACCAUCGUCGUCUGUUUAGCAUAACAUAAAAUAUAAAUUCAAACCUUCAUAUAAUAACCUUUAAAGUUGAAUGCGUAACAUAAGAAUUAAAAUUAAAUAAUACUUACAUGAAGGGACUCGGCCAACUCAUUCCCAGGUCGAACAUAAACGUCGCCAAAGACAUCGAUCUCUGGGAAUUUGGACCCCCCCAAAUUGAACAAAAGAAGAAAAAUAUUAGUACGAAAACAUAAAUUAAAGAAUAAUGAAAAAGUAAAAAUUAAAUAAAAAUUAUUUUAUUAUUACCUGACGUCGUGCAUCCAUCUUAUACGAGAAGGGCCUGGAACUCGAAUGAUGGAGAAGAGUCUUCUUCUUCCUAUUGCCCUUAUUGAUUUUGGCUUUAUUAUGUUAUACAAAAAAUAAAACGUAUUAGUUGAAAUUGAAAUUAAAUAUAAAAAAUUAAAAAAACAUUAGUAAGAAAAUAAAAUUAAAUAUAAAAAAUUACCACAAAAGCGGGCGCCUGAAAAUGAGCGCAGAGCCACGCCCAACUAUCCUCCAGGGCCUCAAGCUCUUUCGGGCAACCCUCUUGAAGAGCGACUUGCGGAUCAACAAACGCCUCAAAAUGGUGGUGCAAGUCGCUCUUCCACUGUUUGUACCUCUCAGAGAAGAGUCUGUUGACGUACGCCAACGACUCUUCGUCAAGGUCCUCCAAGUUGUAGUUCGUCUGCAAUAAAUUAAUUACAUACAUUUAAAUAAUAUAAAUAUAACGUUUGAAAGAAAAAGAAUGAAAAGGCCUACAUACCGACAACUGGCCGCGAACCUCAGUCUUGGUCUCGUCAGGCAUCACCUUCCAAGACUUCCAUUGCAUCGGGCAAUAGCUCCGAAUCACAUAACCAAUGUCGUGGGCCAAGGAGCUAUGCAACUCCACCGUCGGUGUAGCCCGAUGUCGCUCGUCGUAUCCGAUGUUGAUACGACUGUUGGUCACCCAGGUGACCUUCGCCGUCUUCAACUGCCGACACGGCCCUCGAGUGUUCUUCUUGGCUGCAAAGAAAGAUGACAUGAAUGUUAAAUAAAUAACAAAUUUAACAAUAAAAUACACACACACAAAAACAAAA